This is a long non-coding RNA of Acanthopagrus latus (yellowfin seabream), 3659 nucleotides long. RefSeq lists it as uncharacterized. NCBI's taxonomy places the organism in Eukaryota, Metazoa, Chordata, Actinopteri, Spariformes, Sparidae. The record is from RefSeq and is a predicted model, not a curated record. The transcript is spliced from 3 exons.
CUGGCGAAUAAUCAAAGCCUCCAACAAAAGAGGGUGUGUGUGUGUGUGUGUUGGGGGGGGGAGAAAAAUGAAAUAAAAACUACAUGAGCAGUCAUACAUUUCUAAUGGGACUCUUUUAAUCUUGCAAGGGAGACUUUCAAUAGUGAAUUAGUCUUUUUUGUGUUCCUUUAAUGCUUCCAAGAGAAAUAUAUGCAAAUCUCUGGCUAAUGCUAACAGCAGUGACAAAGGAGCCAGCUCUUCCUCUGCUACACUGUGUUACCCAGCCGGCAGUGCAGCAGUGGCCGGAAUAAUGCCUCCAGAUUCCAACAAGGCCUGCUGGAUCAAAACCAGUAAUGAACACAUAUGGAUGCUCUCUGCUAGAAAGAUGUCUAUCUUCCAGCAGCCAGCACCUUGGUCAGGGCUUCCUGUGCGUGUUUUUUUAAGCCUCACCAGGCUAUGAUUUUAACCACUGGUGCUACUGGACAGAGCAGACAUCUCCAUCUUCUUUUUUUCCUCCCCCAUUUAAAAAAAAAAAAAAAAAAAUAUCUGCAUCUUUGGAGCGUUCGAAAGUCUCUGCGGCUCCAUUACAGUAAAAGUGAAUUGUCAAGAAGUGACAGGCGGCUUAGCUUUAAAGAAAAAAAUGAGAAAAUGUGAAUUUUAACGUAAAAUAAACAUACAGAUUCAAACAAUGUGAUAUGAAACAAUCACAAAGGUUGGAGAAGGUGAAGUUGGCUGAACUCUCGUCUUUAACCUGUAGCUGUUGCUAUUAUAAUUAUUGAUAAAUUGAUAAAUGCAUCUCUACACGAUGCUUGAUGACACGCAAUCAAAACGCAUUGAUGUCGGCGCUUGAAAUCCAUCUAUUUUCAUUUUGAGGGCCUGCCUGGCAAAGUCUAAACGUGGUUAACUAGUAGAGGCAGAGUUAAUCCUUUUAUCUAGAUCCCUGCUGCAGGGGAUCCCAAACACACUCUGAUUAAAAAAGGAAACGUGGGCAAUGAACAGUUUAAGAAUCAUGGGCCCUAAACAGAUAAAGGCGGAACAUCUUGUUGCUAUGGCAGUGCAUAUGGAAUGACUGGCGACAGUUCUCUCCCCCAUCUAAUAUAUUCACAUUAUUUAUGAAAUAUUUUAUAAGUAGCAUAGCAAAUGCUAAAUAUAAAUCCCAGGGAGAUGCACUGUGCCUUUCCAGCUGCAGUUGUGGAAUGCCAGUGCCCGUGUAACACAGCUUCUUCUUUGGAAAGGCUGGGUGUUUGUUCACAAGACACACCGCUUUUGAUUCUCCCAUCCUCCUAUUCUUCAAUAAGUUUUUCUUUUUUAAGAAAAAGAAAAGAGAGGAGAAGGGGAAAAAAAAGAAAAACCUCGAUCUUUUUUACAUUGGCAGAUAGACACCAUGAACAAAAGAGACAAUUUGAUCUGCUCAUGUGGGAAAUCAGAUUCCCGUCUGAGAUUUAUCCAGUGCACUCCAGGAUUCAAGUGAAGUAUCGGCCAAAAAAAAAAAAAAAAAAAAAAAAGGAAAAAAGAAAACUGAAGGAAAUGUACGAUAUCAUAUGGAAUAUGUAGCCCGGAGAAGAAAUAGAACUGUUUUAAAUAUACAUACAAUUAUUUUUCUUUAACGGCAGAUAAAAAAAUAUCUACAGAAGCGGAGAACAGAUUUUUAAGGCACACUGUGUGAGACAGUCAGACAGAUGCGAACCAGACAUCCAGAGCACAGGACAUGUUACCCCCCCUUCCUCCUCCUCCUCCUCCUCCUCCUCCUCCUCUGUAUGCUGUGACAGAGCAGGACAACUGCACCGCUAUUUCUCCUGUCAAUACUCUCCUAGCAUCCAUUUUCACCUGGCUGACACCUUUUACUGGUCAAGGGAUGAAUAAAUCACACUUAGUGUACUCCCCUGGUAGUUUGACUAAAAAAAGGAUAUCAACAUGAAGGAGGACUGCAGUGUUUUCCUGUCAUCGCUGCCCCUGAGCCUCUUAGAUCAAUAUACUGUAGGCCUUUUCUCUGUGUGCCAAGCGCGGCGGUAUGCAGGAUGUGCAGGAAGGAGGCCCCCGUUCUCCCCGCACGGUGGAGGAGACAUAAUCUUGGGUGUCGACUGGCCUAUUCUGCUUCCCAUUUGACUGCCUCUUCCAGCCUUCUGGCUCUCUGGAGGGCCGGGCCUUUAUGCCGUCCUAUCACACACUGGGCUGCAGGAACAGCGCUUUUGUGAUGGCUGUGAUUAGUCUUUUGUGUUCCCAGGUAGAAUUAAGAUGAAAUUCUACAGGCAGUCAUUGUGUUCCUAUCUUCAGGACACUCAAAGAAAUAUGUUGGGUUUUGAAGGGGUGAAAUGAAGCCCGCAGGGCCUUGGCAGACCUUGCUCUGUGGGGAAAUACACAGUGGAAACACAAUGGGAACAAUCUUGUCCUUCAGUUUCCUUUUGUGCUCUGCUGAACCUUAGUCAGUGCUGCCCAUUUACUGUAGCCUUCUUUUUAACAGAACAGUAUUGUCUCACUCCAGUCUGCCUUUCCCUUUUUUGCUAGCUUCUGAGACAGACCCAAAGGCUGAUGAGAUGACAGCCGCGACUUUGCCAGAGUCUGGGAGACCCUCAGGGUUUAUUACCCACAUUCCUCCAAGUGUUGGGUAUGCAAAUAAAGUUUGGGAUGGCGGCUUUCAGAUGUGAUAAUUAUGGAUUUAUUUGUAAGCUGUCACUUCCCUUAAUGCUCAGGGACAUCAAAAUAAGUUCAAAUGCAACCAUCAGAGAGGAUCACAUUUGUUAGUGUACCAGAGAUUCAAACAACAUGUGAUUCUCAUGACACCAAAGGUCUGUCAAUAACCACUCAUUUAGACAGCAGUGUGCUUUGGAGACCUCCGCUGCAUGCCGUCCCGCUCAAAAUGUCUGGUAGAAAAUAUUUACAUUUUCUCAUUCGGUUAGAUAUUCAAAACAUCAAGGCGCUUUUUAUCUGCGGGUAACGCACAAACAAAGACGGAGCGCAAAUUUUUAUUGCCACCUCAUCCCCCUGAAACAGACUGGAGCUGUGUACAACUGUUUCAAUCAAACCACUGAUUAAAAAAAAAACAAAACACAGAAGCAGCUUUGUUAGACUCGCACACCAUCGAGCUAGUUGGCUUCAUGUUGCAGCAGUCCUCCCAGUAAAUAUCCUUACCCUUUAACAUCUGGAGGUUACAUCAGCAAGAUUCUUGACAGGAGGACAUGAAUGAACAAACAUGUAAACGGGAUCAAAACCUUUAAAUAUAGGCUAUAACUAUUCAGGGCCUGCCAGAUCUCUGAGAGAGACAACAAAGUGCCUCCCAACGAAUCGCUCAUCUAUUGUCUUGCGUCGAGUGAUGCCUAAUGGGGCAAGCGUAGGUGAGGGUUUCCAGCUGCUCUUCCAGCAGGAGAGGGAAGGAGCACCGUGCCUACCCGAGAAUCAGCCUGGCUGCCAGGGCCGCCUCACAUCACAGACACUCUGAUGGAAGAAAAUGGCUAAGCCCAGAGAGUGCUAUCUCUUUCCAGCUCAAUUCUCAAACAUUGGUCUGUCGGCCUCUAGGAGAGUUCUCUGUCAUUGUAUAAGUGCACAUUAAGGCCUGAUAAAAACUAUGGAAUCCAGCCAUCCGUCUUGAUUUGCCGGCGUUGGGGAGCGGGGAGCACGAGCACAGAAUACCUGCCACUCAGUGGAAGAAUACUGCAACUGUAGGCGUUGGGCUUUAGACAAAG